Non-coding RNA from Podarcis lilfordi (Lilford's wall lizard), 70 nucleotides. NCBI's taxonomy places the organism in Eukaryota, Metazoa, Chordata, Lepidosauria, Squamata, Lacertidae. The record is from the annotation of a GenBank genome assembly.
GGAUAGCUCAGUUGGUUAGAGUGUGGUGCUAAUAGCACCAAGGUUGCAGGUUCGAUCCCUGUAAUAGACA